Epinephelus moara (kelp grouper) is the source of this 1910-nucleotide long non-coding RNA. RefSeq lists it as uncharacterized. The record is from RefSeq and is a predicted model, not a curated record. The transcript has 4 exons. NCBI's taxonomy places the organism in Eukaryota, Metazoa, Chordata, Actinopteri, Perciformes, Serranidae.
ACAGGUUGACUUUUGGUGCGAGUGGAACCUUCAGUUGUUUCUAGCUGUAAGAUGUUAAAUGUGAUGACUUUGUGAAACUAGUAUUGAGGUGUACUUGCUUCCGACCUGGAGACUAGGCUGGGUUUAGUUCUGAAAACUUUCUAAAAACACUUUUCAGUUCCCAGAAACGAGGAUUACUAUUUCUUGGUUUCCCUCAAUAAGGUAAGACAGUGAGGUCGUAUUUCUGCUAGGAUGUUAGUAGCUCUAAGAGUCUUCUUUUGGUUGUUAUUAUUUUAUUAAGUUCAACAGCAUCCACAAGCCCAUUUUGUCCUUGUAGUCCACCUCACCUGUUUUUGUUCGUAUUAAUUAUCUAAACUCCCUGUAAAUAAACAACUGUAUUUUGCCAAAUCACCUGGUUUUAUGUUGCUUCCUUUUGCCUUUACAAGCUGCUGAUUUGGAUAAGUGCAACAUAUAUUAUUAUCAUAAUUAUUACAAACUUUAAACUCAGCAGCACAGUGACAUCUGGUGGUCUGUAAAACUUGUAGCAGCUCUCUGAUUUCAGAUUUUGAAUCUUAUGUAUAAUUUUGUGUGUUCAUUGCCAAAAUCAUGGAAAGUGAGAGGACACCUGAAGAGUGGAGAAGUAAAUUGCCGAGCUUAGAAAAUAAGAGUGAUGUGCAAAACUGUCAUUGACUAACUACAGAAGCACAACCCUGAUUCCAAAAAAAGUUAUAAUAAUAAAAAUAAUAAUAAUAAUAAUAAUAAUGAUAAUAAUAAUAAUAAUUUUAUCCCCCCAUUGGUUAAUCCAGAAUUUUUCAUCCUCUGGUUUUGAGUGUUUCCUGUAACAAAAUAAAGUUUGCUUUCUCGCCCUUACAAAAUAAAAAUAUUGAUUUUCUCUUCAGCCCCUAGCAUUCAAUGAAAUACAAGAAUAGUCAACAUUCACUGUGAACCACAACUAGCAACUGCUAGUAAACAGUAAGAAGUCCAACUGAGUGAAGAGAAGUGGAAAAUAAAAAAACGUCCAACAUAUAACUGUAGGCAAUGUCUCUUCAAUGUCAAAAUAUCUGUGAACUUAACCAUCCAACCUUCUUAUAGCAGGGAAGAUUAAGACCCUGUUUGAUGCUUAUUUAUUCAUAGGUUUUAACCACCAGUAUACCUCAAGUGUUCUCACUAAAUGAUUCUGUCCAUCGAUGUAUCCAGCACCUCCUCUGUAGAAAGCUCAUUUUCCAGCCGCCCAUGCUUUUUGUAUCUUCGGCCACAGUGUCAGCAUUGCAGAGGUCUUCGAUGAAGCCGAUCCCAAGUUCUCUGCAGAUGGGGGAACCUUUGGUCAUCUUCCACAGCGCAUCCCGAUGUAUUCUCUGCGUGAAUUGGACGAUGACCUGCCUCGUCUUAUUUUCCUCUCCUCUGACAAUGAGCCCAGUCCACAAUGUGGUUAAUGUUGGGGGCCCAUGGGGGAGAGAUUUUCAUCAACAGGGCCCACAUCAGCCCGCCGCUCAUUACAUUUACUCAGUUGGUGUGAUCAACAAGACGCAGCCAGUGGUGGCAUCACAAAUCAACAUAUGAGGUCCUUUCCAGGUGUUUUCAGCAGGGCAGAGGGGAGAGUCCUGUUCCUGCCAAGAGGCCUAAACCGUUGGAUGUGGCUUUCUAUUUGUUGCCACAGCCAUGUGAAAAACCCCCAAAAGAGCAGGACUGGGCCGUAGGGCUGCUCAUCUCGAUGAACGCACAACACAUGAAGAGUUACGUGAUGCCCUCAAAGUUUUAUUCCCAUAAUUGGGGACAGUUACUGGAGGGUGGCUGCUGUACAAAUCAUCAGGUGGGCCAACACAAGUUUGUGUGUUAGUGUUGCUCUGUCAUAAAAAACAAAACAAAAACGUAGAUAUGCAGCAGCUAACGUCACGUCAUGCAGUUAUGGUACAGGUUAAGGUUAUAGUACA